AGCGCGCGACGGAAAUGCUUGCUAGUCGUACGAGUUCUACUCGUGGCGAAUAGCUCAGUAACACGUGGUUAAAACCCCUUCGGAGCUCCAUACCCUCGGGAAACUGAGGCUAAUAGAGCAUCACACACCACCACUGGAAUGAGUAGUGUGCCAAACGCUCCGGCGCCGAAGGAUGUGGCUGCGGCCGAUUAGGUAGACGGUGGGGUAACGGCCCACCGUGCCAAUAAUCGGUAUGGGUCAUGAGAGUGAGAACCCAGAGACGGAAUCUGAGACAAGAUUCCGGGCCCUACGGGGCGCAGCAGGCGCGAAACCUUUACACUGCACGACAGUGCGAUAGGGGGAUCCCAAGUGCACAGGCAUAGCGCCUGUGCUUUUCGGUACCCUAAGGCGGUACCAGAAUAAGGGCUGGGCAAGACCGGUGCCAGCCGCCGCGGUAAUACCGGCAGCCCAAGUGAUGGCCGAUCUUAUUGGGCCUAAAGCGUCCGUAGCUGGCCGCGCAAGUCCAUCGGGAAAUCCACCUGCUCAACAGGUGGGCGCCCGGUAGAAACUGCGUGGCUUGGGACCGGAAGGCGCGACGGGUACGUCCGGGGUAGGAGUGAAAUCCCGUAAUCCUGGACGGACCGCCGAUGGCGAAAGCACGUCGCGAGAACGGAUCCGACAGUGAGGGACGAAAGCCAGGGUCUCGAACCGGAUUAGAUACCCGGGUAGUCCUGGCCGUAAACAAUGUCUGCUAGGUGUGGCUCCCACUACGAGUGGGUGCUGUGCCGUAGGGAAGCCGCUAAGCAGACCGCCUGGGAAGUACGUCCGCAAGGAUGAAACUUAAAGGAAUUGGCGGGGGAGCACUACAACCGGAGGAGCCUGCGGUUUAAUUGGACUCAACGCCGGACAUCUCACCAGCAUCGACUGUGGUAAUGACGAUCAGGUUGAUGACCUUAUCCGAGCCUCAGAGAGGAGGUGCAUGGCCGCCGUCAGCUCGUACCGUGAGGCGUCCUGUUAAGUCAGGCAACGAGCGAGACCCGCACUCUUACUUGCCAGCAGUAUCGCGAGAUAGCUGGGGACAGUAGGAGGACCGCCGUGGCUAACACGGAGGAAGGAACGGGCAACGGUAGGUCAGUAUGCCCCGAAUGUGCUGGGCAACACGCGGGCUACAAUGGUCGAGACAAAGGGUUCCUACUCCGAAAGGAGACGGUAAUCUCAGAAACUCGAUCGUAGUUCGGAUUGUGGGCUGCAACUCGCCCACAUGAAGCUGGAUUCGGUAGUAAUCGCGUGUCACAAGCGCGCGGUGGUACGUCCCUGCUCCUUGCACACACCGCCCGUCGCGGUCCCUUAUCCGGAUGAGGCGCGUCCACGCGUCGAUCUGGGUUCGCCUAGUGCGUUUCACCAGGCCG
This 1388-nucleotide ribosomal RNA is filed under the name haloarchaeon CDRi50. Its description in RNAcentral is "bacterial SSU rRNA". It matches the Rfam family "Archaeal small subunit ribosomal RNA". Lineage: Archaea; Methanobacteriati; Methanobacteriota; Halobacteria; Halobacteriales; Halobacteriaceae. The record is from RNAcentral.